CCUACGGGGGGCAGCAGUGGGGAAUAUUGGACAAUGGGGGCAACCCUGAUCCAGCCAUGCCGCGUGUGUGAAGAAGGCCCUCGGGUUGUAAAGCACUUUCAGUGAGGAAGAACGCCUGGUGGUGAAUACCCAUCAGGAAAGACAUCACUCACAGAAGAAGCACCGGCUAACUCCGUGCCAGCAGCCGCGGUAAUACGGAGGGUGCGAGCGUUAAUCGGAAUUACUGGGCGUAAAGCGCGCGUAGGUGGCUUGAUAAGCCGGUUGUGAAAGCCCCGGGCUCAACCUGGGAACGGCAUCCGGAACUGUCAAGCUAGAGUGCAGGAGAGGAAGGUAGAAUUCCCGGUGUAGCGGUGAAAUGCGUAGAGAUCGGGAGGAAUACCAGUGGCGAAGGCGGCCUUCUGGACUGACACUGACACUGAGGUGCGAAAGCGUGGGUAGCAAACAGGAUUAGAUACCCCAGUAGUC
Molecule: ribosomal RNA, 465 nt
Filed under: Vreelandella stevensii
Lineage: Bacteria; Pseudomonadati; Pseudomonadota; Gammaproteobacteria; Oceanospirillales; Halomonadaceae
Description: partial 16S ribosomal RNA
Rfam family: Bacterial small subunit ribosomal RNA
Source: RNAcentral